This 253-nucleotide ribosomal RNA is filed under the name uncultured bacterium. Its description in RNAcentral is "partial 16S ribosomal RNA". It matches the Rfam family "Bacterial small subunit ribosomal RNA", at positions 524 to 776 of the family's 1533-position model. The record is from RNAcentral.
UACGUAUGGUGCAAGCGUUAUUCGGAUUUAUUGGGCGUAAAGGGUCCGUAGGUGGUUUAUUAAGUCAGAUGUGAAAUCCUGGAGCUCAACUCCAGAACUGCAUUUGAAACUGAUGAACUAGAGUAUUGGAGAGGUAAGUGGAAUUUCAGGUGUAGCGGUGGAAUGCGUAGAUAUCUGAAGGAACACCAAAAGCGAAGGCAGCUUACUGGACAAUCACUGACACUGAGGGACGAAGGCGUGGGUAGCGAAAAGG